Carassius gibelio (silver crucian carp) is the source of this 882-nucleotide long non-coding RNA. RefSeq lists it as uncharacterized. The transcript is spliced from 2 exons. The record is from RefSeq and is a predicted model, not a curated record. Lineage: Eukaryota; Metazoa; Chordata; Actinopteri; Cypriniformes; Cyprinidae.
GUAUUUUAUUGACUUUUUCUCAUUUCUGUAGAUUUCGGAAUCUAAGAUAAUUUUACACAUUCAUGGAUAAUUAAUUAUUUUAUUAACUAAACGUUUUGAGUGAAAUAGUUGCCUAUCCAUCGUAUAAUGUGAGAAUAAUCUGUGUAAUAAAUGCAGAUUGUGUGAGGUUAGUGAUUGCUAAAUGAGCCAGUUUCUGGUUGCCAAUGACCUUUACUUUGGUACUCCUCUGCACGUGGCAUGUGCCAGCCAGCACAUGGAGUGUGUUUAAGUACUACUGAAUGCAGGUGAAACCAGAUGCCGUGAGAUUGUAAAGUACUCUGUCAGGCAUGCAAACACUGAAGAAUGUGUCUCUAAAGCAGGUAGUUUAGAUCUGGAAUCACCAAAGUGAAGUUGUAAUCGUGAAUCAUUGUGUGCAGGUGUGCAAGUAAACGCCACCAGCCUACACAAGAUGCCCUUACAUCAUGCUGCAAAGUCCAACAAUGUGAUAUGAUUGAGCUUUAAGCUGUUGGUGGAGUUUGGGGCCAACAUUUAUGCCCGUGACAAAUAUGACAGGAAGCCAGUUGACUACACAAAGUCUGAUACGCCCUCAGCGCAGUCUUCAACUUUAUGACAGUAACCCUCUUUCUCUGGAGCAGGAAAGCCGUACCACCCUGAGGACGAUGUUGGGCACCAGAGCUGUGGACGUGGUGACCCACCUGGAUAUUCCUAACCAUAUUAUCAGUUAUCUCUUACACCAGUGAACUCUUUCCUUAGAGGUCCACAGAUAGUGUGGAAACACCUUAAGCAUUGAAAUAUCUCCAACAAAUAUCAGUUUUGUUGACACUUUAGAGAUUUAUAGAUGCACUAUGUAUUUUUUUGUGUGUUAUAAAUGUAUCCAAAUUA